This is a long non-coding RNA of Dendronephthya gigantea, 727 nucleotides long. RefSeq lists it as uncharacterized. NCBI's taxonomy places the organism in Eukaryota, Metazoa, Cnidaria, Anthozoa, Malacalcyonacea, Nephtheidae. The record is from RefSeq and is a predicted model, not a curated record. The transcript has 3 exons.
UAGCCACCAACGGUUUAAUUUCAAACAGAGAUUACUCGCUAAGCUUCCAGCACACACAAGGUGACUACGCUUCAAGUCAGACGUAGAAAAACUGAGCCGGGAUAAUUAUAUUCUCACAAAAUGGCAAGCAGAGGUUUUCUUGCAUUCAUCGUCUUGAUUAUCAUUUUCCACGCAUGUGCAGCAAAAUCGUGGAGUAAGACUUUAAGAAGGGACUUCUUGCGCUACGAAAACGAGGCAGUGAAAAGAGGAACUAGUCAUUAUGAUUCUUGCCAAUAUUUGUAUAUUGAUUGUAGCGAUAAUCCUAACCUGUGUAGGAACGACGGUUGCAAGCCAGGCAUGAGACUGGAAUGUCUGAAAACUGGGACUGCGGGCAAAUCUAAAUGCAGUGCGUCAUAUCAUCAUGUGGACGGGUGGUAUAAGCGUAGAUAUCCCGAACAUUGAUUAUCAAAGCAUGCUAUGCGACUGUGGACGAACUGUUGGAAAUACCCAUGAAAUAGUUAAUAUUAGAUUAGAACACUAUAUUCAUAUUCGCCUGAAUGAAAAAGAUGGCGGCAUUCAAUUUUGAAAAGUAAUUUUUUGCGAACUUGUAUUAAGUAAUAUUGUAAUUUUGCAUGGAAAAUUAACUACAAUCCUACUAUAUAUGUAUUCACAAUUUUAUAAUGACGUAAUAAUUUAGCUGUAUAUAGCUAUUGUAAUGUGUUCAAUAAACCAUCCAUAAUCAUAAUAA